This 73-nucleotide transfer RNA is filed under the name Planctomicrobium piriforme. It matches the Rfam family "tRNA". From Rfam's summary of the family: Transfer RNA (tRNA) molecules are approximately 80 nucleotides in length. Their secondary structure includes four short double-helical elements and three loops (D, anti-codon, and T loops). Lineage: Bacteria; Pseudomonadati; Planctomycetota; Planctomycetia; Planctomycetales; Planctomycetaceae. The record is from Rfam by way of RNAcentral.
GCCGCCGUAGCUCAGCUGGCAGAGCGACGCUUUCGUAAAGCGUAGGUCGUCAGUUCAAAUCUGACCGGUGGCU